Molecule: ribosomal RNA, 460 nt
Filed under: uncultured bacterium
Lineage: Bacteria
Description: partial 16S ribosomal RNA
Rfam family: Bacterial small subunit ribosomal RNA
Source: RNAcentral
CCUACGGGUGGCAGCAGUGAGGAAUAUUGGUCAAUGGGCGCGAGCCUGAACCAGCCAAGUAGCGUGAAGGAUGACUGCCCUACGGGUUGUAAACUUCUUUUAUCAAGGAAUAAAGUGAGCCACGUGUGCCUUUUUGUAUGUACUUUAUGAAUAAGGAUCGGCUAAAUCCGGUCCAGCAGCCGGGGUAAUACGGAGGAUCCGAGCGUUAUCCGGGUUUAUUGGGUUUAAAGGGAGCGUAGAUGGGUUUUUAAGUCCGUUGUGAAAGUUUGCGGCCUAACCGUAAUAUUGCAUUUGAUACUGGCAGUCUUGAGUAGAGUGGAAGUAGGCGGAAUGCGUGGUGUAGCGGUGAAAUGCUUAGAUAUCACGAAGAACUCCGAUUGCGAAGGCAGCAUACUAACCUGCCACUGACACUGAAGCUCGAAAGUGUGGGUAUCAAACAGGAUUAGAUACCCCUGUAGUC